AUAGAUAAGAAAAUUUCAUUCCACGUUUUAGAAGGUCAACGUAAAUUCAAAGUAGGAAUAUAGAAUAAUGUUUUGAUGGAGCAUCUUACAAGCAAAGUCUGUUCUUCAAAUCCAAUUAUGCCAUAUUACAAGAGAUAUUCACUCUCCAGAUUCAAAGACAGCCAUGAAAAUACCGAAGAAAAGACAGCAAGGAAAAACAGAAAGGUGCAGCAAAGCAUGUGUCUACACAGCUUUCCAUGAAGACAGUGGUGGAGUGUCAGAAUCUUUGAAUGUAAAGUUGUUGCUCUCAUAUCUAUCACCUUUUACAGCACUUGCUGAUGCAAUGUACUCAAGCUCAGCCAUGUCUUCUGGUGUGAGUUUCACAGACAGAGCUCCAACAUUCUGGAUGAAGUUUUCAAUCUUGGUGGUUCCAGGAAUGGGACAUACAUCAUCUCCUUGGUGAUGGACCCAGGCUAGUGCUAGCUGUGAUGGAGUGCAUUGUUUCCUCGCUGCAAUUUCAUUAAUCCGCUCGAAAAGUUGUUUAUUGUGCUCCAGAUUUUCAGAUUGGAACCUUGGUAGAUACUUGCGAAAGUCACCCUCUGAAAGAGUUUCAACCAACUUAGGCCCUGAUGAUAAGAAUCCUCGUCCCAAAGGACUGUAUGCAACAAUACCAAUGCCAAGUUCUCUGAGAAUUAGAAGGAUGAGAUCAGAAUCACGGUACUAUAUACACCAUAACAUGACAGAUUUUUAUUCAUUUUGAACUCCAUAACAAUUAUUUUUUUGUUAUUGAUGUGUCACCUGCAAGUAGGAACUAUCUCUUCUUCCACAUCUCUCGACCACAAAGACCACUCCAACUGCACAGCUGUUAUAGGGUGAACAGCAUGAGCUCUUCUGAUUGUUGAGGCAGAGGCCUCAGAUAGACCUAUAUACUUUAUUUUACCCUCUUCAACUAGUUUCUUGAGUUCCCCAAUCGUGACUUCAAUGGGAAUAGAGGUAUCAACGCGAUGUUGGUAAUAAAGAUCAAUACAAUCAACAUCAAGGCGUUUCAAGCUAGCCUCACAAGCAGCCCUCACAUAGGCUGGAUCCCUCGAGCCUCCCACUUCCCAUCCUUAUAGACCAAGGCAAAUUUGGUGGCCAAUUCCACUCUCUUUCUCAUCUCUCCUUUAAGCGCCUUUCCGAGAAGAAUUUCAUUAGUAUGAGGUCCAUAGAUAUCGGCGGUAUCGAGGAAAGUGACACCGCUGUUGAUGGCGUGGUGAAUGAGAGCUAUCAUAUCGGAUUCAGGCUUUGGAGGUCCAUAGAAGGCUGACAUGCUCAUGCACCCAAGUCCCUGAGCUGAUACCUCCAGCCCUUGUGAUCCAAGCUUUAUCCUCUUCACUCCUACUUCUGCCAUUUCUAAGCAAAAUAUUCUGUCUGUGACUGUGACAAGGGAAUUAGAAGCAGCAGAAACCACACAUUCACUUGCCAGCUCAUUUCUGUGCAUUUGUAGACUAUCGGGGAAAAGAAAAUUUAUUUACGCAUUGCCACGUGCCAUUUCGGUCCGACUUCGAGCUAAAUUAAAGGGCCGGUUUAGUUUUAUUUUUUAGCGUAAGAGUGUUUGGGGAUGAAUGUAUCUGAUAAUUAAAAAUUUAUCAUUUUUUUUUUAAAUUAGACUAGUUUUACUUUUUAUGACGUAAGUGCUAGCUUAGUGGUUUGAAGCGAAAACUCUAGAAGAUGGCGCUUCUUAUAUGAAUGGUCUACUUUUCAUGACGUAAGUGCUAACUUAAUUUAUCACUUCCAUCCGGCAUAUCGUUUUUGACUUGGGACCCACGUGCGAAAUAGGAAUCAGUUAUAGUUCAUAUUUUUAUUAAUUAAAUAUAUCGUUCUAUUGUUAUUAAUU
Molecule: unclassified non-coding RNA, 1855 nt
Filed under: Hevea brasiliensis (rubber tree)
Lineage: Eukaryota; Viridiplantae; Streptophyta; Magnoliopsida; Malpighiales; Euphorbiaceae
Source: RNAcentral